Molecule: ribosomal RNA, 435 nt
Filed under: uncultured bacterium
Lineage: Bacteria
Description: partial 16S ribosomal RNA
Rfam family: Bacterial small subunit ribosomal RNA
Source: RNAcentral
GAGCGAACGCUGGCGGCAGGCCUACCACAUGCAAGUCGAACGAACCUUUCGGGGUUAGUGGCGGACGGGUGAGUAACACGUGGGAACGUGCCUUUAGGUUCGGAAUAACUCAGGGAAACUUGUGCUAAUACCGAAUGUGCCCUUCGGGGGAAAGAUUAAUCGCCUUUAGAGCGGCCCGCGUCUGAUUAGCUAGUUGGUUGAGGUAAUGGCUCACCAAGGCGACGAUCAGUAGCUGGUCUGAGAGGAUGAUCAGCCACAUUGGGACUGAGACACGGCCCAAACUCCUACGGGAGGCAGCAGUGGGGAAUCUUGCGCAAUGGGCGAAAGCCUGACGCAGCCAUGCCGCGUGAAUGAUGAAGGUCUUAGGAUUGUAAAAUUCUUUCACCGGGGACGAUAAUGACGGUACCCGGAGAAGAAGCCCCGGCUAACUUCGUG